CCCUGGUUAGUCCAGUUGGUGGAGCGCUCCACUGAAAAUGGAGAGGUCUCUGGUUCGAUACCCGGACCAGGCG
Molecule: non-coding RNA, 73 nt
Organism: Ixodes scapularis (black-legged tick)
Lineage: Eukaryota; Metazoa; Arthropoda; Arachnida; Ixodida; Ixodidae
Source: Rfam